This 253-nucleotide ribosomal RNA is filed under the name uncultured prokaryote. RNAcentral's name for it is "partial 16S ribosomal RNA". It matches the Rfam family "Bacterial small subunit ribosomal RNA", at positions 524 to 776 of the family's 1533-position model. The record is from RNAcentral.
UACGUAGGUGGCAAGCGUUAUCCGGAAUUAUUGGGCGUAAGGCGCGCGCAGGUGGUUUCUUAAGUCUGAUGUGAAAGCCCACGGCUCAACCGUGGAGGGUCAUUGGAAACUGGGAGACUUGAGUGCAGAAGAGGAAAGUGGAAUUCCAUGUGUAGCGGUGAAAUGCGUAGAGAUAUGGAGGAACACCAGUGGCGAAGGCGAGUCCCUGGACAACUCCUGACACUGAGGCACGAAAGCUAGGGGAGCAAACAGG